CCCCUCUCAGAGUCAUACCUGGAGAGUUACCAGUACUCUACCAGUUUCGACUAUGGGAGGGAGAGUCAAGCAGAGGCAUAACCAUUCCAUUCCUAGCUUGGACAAUGGCUAGCAUGUGGAAGGCAAUCUGCUACAAGU
Small nucleolar RNA from Tachyglossus aculeatus (Australian echidna), 138 nucleotides. Lineage: Eukaryota; Metazoa; Chordata; Mammalia; Monotremata; Tachyglossidae. The record is from RefSeq and is a predicted model, not a curated record.